AUUGAACGCUGGCGGAAUACUUUACACAUGCAAGUCGAACGGUAGAGGGGGCAACCCCUCGAGAGUGGCGAACGGGUGAGUAAUAUAUCGGAACGUGCCCAGUCGUGGGGGAUAACGUAGCGAAAGUUACGCUAAUACCGCAUACGAUCUAAGGAUGAAAGCGGGGGAUCGCAAGACCUCGCGCGAUUGGAGCGGCCGAUAUCAAGAUUAGGUAGUUGGUGGGGUAAAGGCUCACCAAGCCAACGAUCUGUAGCUGGUCUGCGAGGACGACCAGCCACACGGGAACUGAGACACGGUCCAGACUCCUACGGGAGGCAGCAGUGGGGAAUUUUGGACAAUGGACGCAAGUCUGAUCCAGCCAUUCCGCGUGCAGGAUGAAGGCCCUCGGGUUGUAAACUGCUUUUGUACGGAACGAAAAGGUCUCUCUUAAUACGGGGGGCUCAUGACGGUACCGUAAGAAUAAGCACCGGCUAACUACGUGCCAGCCGCCGCAGUAA
This 497-nucleotide ribosomal RNA is filed under the name uncultured bacterium. RNAcentral describes it as "partial 16S ribosomal RNA". It matches the Rfam family "Bacterial small subunit ribosomal RNA", at positions 30 to 523 of the family's 1533-position model. The record is from RNAcentral.